GAUGAAGAACGCAGCGAAACGCGAUAUGUAAUGUGAAUUGCAGAAUUCAGUGAAUCAUCGAAUCUUUGAACGCACAUGGCGCCUUCCAGUAUCCUGGGAGGCAUGCCUGUCCGAGCGUCGUUUCAACCCUCGAGCCCCCGUGGCCCGGCGUUGGGGAUCUGCCACGGCAGGCCCCUAAAACCAGUGUCGGACCCGAAGGCCCUCUCCUUUGCGCAGUAGCAUCAGCCUCGCAUUGGGAUCCCUCGGCGUCCUGCCUCUAAACCCCCCACAAGUCCGCUCCGGCGGCACCAAGGUUGACCUCGGAUCAGGUAGGAAUACCCGCUGAACUUAAGCAUAUCAAUAAGCGGAGGA
This 351-nucleotide unclassified non-coding RNA is filed under the name soil metagenome. RNAcentral's name for it is "partial contains 5.8S ribosomal RNA, internal transcribed spacer 2, and large subunit ribosomal RNA". The stretch from base 1 to 120 matches the Rfam family "5.8S ribosomal RNA", at positions 35 to 154 of the family's 154-position model. The record is from RNAcentral.